CCUGUUCUCAGGACAGGUGCGGAUCCCAGAGGUGUGACCUGCACCUGUGACAUAUCGACUGUAAUUAAUGUUGACACUAGGGAUGAGCGAAUCGACCUUGGAUGAAACAUAAAACUUUGUUCUAAUAUUGUACGGAGCAGGAGCUCUGUACCGUAUUAGAAUGUAUUGGCUCCGAUGAGCCGAAGUUAUUGCUACGUGAAGACUUUGCGUAAUAACUUCAUAAAUUAAUUUCUACUGUAAAAAAAACAAAAACAUUUCAGUUCCAAGUGGCAGGAGCUCCGUGCAGUAUUAGAACAAAGUUAUAUGCAAAUCGACUUUGGCUGCGUCAUCCGAAGUGGAUUCGCUCAUCUCUAGUGAGCGUUAGGUUUCAUGCACGCGCAGCAGAUCUGUUGCAGAAAAUUAUUCGACCGUUCCAGUCAUAUAAAUGAAGUUUGCAGAAAUGCAUGUGCUCGCCGCCAAAGCAGUGCCGCUCCCUCUACCUGCAAGCUUUUGCAAAUAGCUCUAUACUCAAAAAUGGCGCUCUCCGUGUAAUCCACAAAAAGGUGAAUUCUUGGAAAUGCAAGA
Bufo bufo (common toad) is the source of this 564-nucleotide long non-coding RNA. RefSeq lists it as uncharacterized. NCBI's taxonomy places the organism in Eukaryota, Metazoa, Chordata, Amphibia, Anura, Bufonidae. The transcript is spliced from 2 exons. The record is from RefSeq and is a predicted model, not a curated record.